Molecule: long non-coding RNA, 705 nt
Organism: Canis lupus familiaris (dog)
Lineage: Eukaryota; Metazoa; Chordata; Mammalia; Carnivora; Canidae
Exons: 2
Source: RefSeq, a predicted model, not a curated record
CUAACACUUUGGUUUCCACAUCUAAAGCCAGCCUCACAGGAAAAUAAGUUAUUACUUGCCCAGGAAUAAUUUAAGAAGUUCUAGAAAUACCUCACAGCCAAAAGCACCUACCUACCUCCCCCACAUCUGAAAUCCCAGCAUUUGAGAUUCUUUCCUUCCUGAUAUCCUGCUAGGAGGAGCAAGAGAAAGCUCUCACAACUUAAUGAAUUUAUCAGCUGCUUCCUUAUCCCAAGAAGCACAGAAGAAGAAGGGGCAGGAUGAGUGAAAGUCUGGAGGAGAAUAAAGACAAAAGUGCUGGGGAGCCUGGAAAACAAAUCUCUCCACCUCCAUACUCCACUUACGGUCAGUGGUUGGAUCGGCACUCCUCUGUAAAAUGUCAAAUGAAGACUACACCAGGGCUUCUUCAACCUUAGCAUGUGUAAGAAGACUUUGGCAGCUUGUCAAAAUGCAGAUUCCUACACACCCCCAGAGCAUCUGGCUCAGUAAGUCUGGGGUAGAGACCAAGAUGCUUGAACUCAAACAAGCCACCAGUUAGUGCUGAUGCAGCUGGUCUGGGAACCACCCUUUGACCAGCACUGGUCUACACCAGUAGUCUCUUCAGUGAAGGCUGGCAUCUCACCUUUAGAGAUUCCUUUCCUGGGGUAAAGAAAUGUGCAAAUUAAAUAUACCAGCCCAUGUGACCAACUAAAGAAAACUGUAUUCUUA